This 466-nucleotide ribosomal RNA is filed under the name uncultured bacterium. RNAcentral's name for it is "partial 16S ribosomal RNA". It matches the Rfam family "Bacterial small subunit ribosomal RNA", at positions 28 to 505 of the family's 1533-position model. The record is from RNAcentral.
GACGAACGCUGGCGGCGUGCUUAACACAUGCAAGUCGAACGGAAAGGCCCUGCUUUUGUGGGGUGCUCGAGUGGCGAACGGGUGAGUAACACGUGAGUAACCUGCCCUUGACUUUGGGAUAACUUCAGGAAACUGGGGCUAAUACCGGAUAGGAGCUCCUGCUGCAUGGUGGGGGUUGGAAAGUUUCGGCGGUUGGGGAUGGACUCGCGGCUUAUCAGCUUGUUGGUGGGGUAGUGGCUUACCAAGGCUUUGACGGGUAGCCGGCCUGAGAGGGUGACCGGCCACAGUGGGACUGAGAUACGGCGCAGACUCCUACGGGAGGCGGCAGUGGGGAAUGUUGCACAAUGGGCGGAAGCCUGAUGCAGCAACGCCGCGUGCGGGAUGACGGCCUUCGGGUUGUAAACCGCUUUCGCCUGUGACGAAGCGUGAGUGACGGUAAUGGGUAAAGAAGCACCGGCUAACUACG